This 448-nucleotide ribosomal RNA is filed under the name uncultured bacterium. RNAcentral's name for it is "bacterial SSU rRNA". It matches the Rfam family "Bacterial small subunit ribosomal RNA", at positions 398 to 842 of the family's 1533-position model. The record is from RNAcentral.
CGCGUGAGGGAAUAAGGCCCUACGGGUCGUAAACCUCUUUUGCCAGGGAGCAAUGCCGUCCACGUGUGGACGGAAGGAGAGUACCUGGAGAAAAAGCAUCGGCUAACUCCGUGCCAGCAGCCGCGGUAAUACGGAGGAUGCGAGCGUUAUCCGGAUUUAUUGGGUUUAAAGGGUGCGUAGGCGGCCUGCCAAGUCAGCGGUAAAAUUGCGGGGCUCAACCCCGUUCAGCCGUUGAAACUGCCGGGCUCGAGUGGGCGAGAAGUAUGCGGAAUGCGUGGUGUAGCGGUGAAAUGCAUAGAUAUCACGCAGAACCCCGAUUGCGAAGGCAGCAUACCGGCGCCCGACUGACGCUGAGGCACGAAAGUGCGGGGAUCAAACAGGAUUAGAUACCCUGGUAGUCCGCACAGUAAACGAUGAAUGCUAGCUGUCCGGGGGGAUUGACCCCUGG